UACGGAGGGUGCAAGCGUUAUCCGGAUUCACUGGGUUUAAAGGGAGCGCAGGCGGAUUUGUAAGUCAGUGGUGAAAGGCUUAAGCUUAACUUGGGAACUGCCAUUGAUACUAUAAGUCUUGAAUGUUGUUGAGGUUUGCGGAAUGGGUCAUGUAGCGGUGAAAUGCGUAGAUAUGACCCGGAACACCUAUUGCGAAGGCAGCAGGCUAAACAAAUAUUGACGCUGAGGCUCGAAAGCGUGGGGAUCAAACAGG
This 253-nucleotide ribosomal RNA is filed under the name uncultured bacterium. RNAcentral's name for it is "partial 16S ribosomal RNA". It matches the Rfam family "Bacterial small subunit ribosomal RNA", at positions 524 to 776 of the family's 1533-position model. The record is from RNAcentral.